GACGAACGCUGGCGGCGUGCUUAACACAUGCAAGUCGAACGGAAAGGCCCUGCUUUUGUGGGGUGCUCGAGUGGCGAACGGGUGAGUAACACGUGAGUAACCUGCCCUUGACUUUGGGAUAACUUCAGGAAACUGGGGCUAAUACCGGAUAGGAGCUCCUGCUGCAUGGUGGGGGCUGGAAAGUUUCGGCGGUUGGGGAUGGACUCGCGGCUUAUCAGCUUGUUGGUGGGGUAGUGGCUUACCAAGGCUUUGACGGGUAGCCGGCCUGGGAGGGUGACCGGCCACAUUGGGACUGAGAUACGGCCCAGACUCCUACGGGAGGCAGCAGUGGGGAAUAUUGCACAAUGGGCGGAAGCCUGAUGCAGCAACGCCGCGUGCGGGAUGACGGCCUUCGGGUUGUAAACCGCUUUCGCCUGUGACGAAGCGUGAGUGACGGUAAUGGGUAAAGAAGCACCGGCUAACUACGUG
RNAcentral lists this ribosomal RNA (468 nucleotides) under uncultured bacterium. RNAcentral describes it as "partial 16S ribosomal RNA". It matches the Rfam family "Bacterial small subunit ribosomal RNA", at positions 28 to 507 of the family's 1533-position model. The record is from RNAcentral.